This 485-nucleotide ribosomal RNA is filed under the name Bacillus pumilus. Its description in RNAcentral is "bacterial SSU rRNA". It matches the Rfam family "Bacterial small subunit ribosomal RNA", at positions 16 to 485 of the family's 1533-position model. Lineage: Bacteria; Bacillati; Bacillota; Bacilli; Caryophanales; Bacillaceae. The record is from RNAcentral.
UGUUUGGCUCAGGACGAACGCUGGCGGCGUGCCUAAUACAUGCAAGUCGAGCGGACAGAAGGGAGCUUGCUCCCGGAUGUUAGCGGCGGACGGGUGAGUAACACGUGGGUAACCUGCCUGUAAGACUGGGAUAACUCCGGGAAACCGGAGCUAAUACCGGAUAGUUCCUUGAACCGCAUGGUUCAAGGAUGAAAGACGGUUUCGGCUGUCACUUACAGAUGGACCCGCGGCGCAUUAGCUAGUUGGUGAGGUAACGGCUCACCAAGGCGACGAUGCGUAGCCGACCUGAGAGGGUGAUCGGCCACACUGGGACUGAGACACGGCCCAGACUCCUACGGGAGGCAGCAGUAGGGAAUCUUCCGCAAUGGACGAAAGUCUGACGGAGCAACGCCGCGUGAGUGAUGAAGGUUUUCGGAUCGUAAAGCUCUGUUGUUAGGGAAGAACAAGUGCAAGAGUAACUGCUUGCACCUGACGGUACCUACCAG